ACUGCGAAUGGCUCAUUAAAUCAGUUAUCGUUUAUUUGAUAGUACCUUACUACAUGGAUACCUGUGGUAAUUCUAGAGCUAAUACAUGCUGAAAACCUCGACUUCGGAAGGGGUGUAUUUAUUAGAUAAAAAACCAAUGCCCUUCGGGGCUCCUUGGUGAAUCAUAAUAACUUAACGAAUCGCAUGGCCUUGCGCCGGCGAUGGUUCAUUCAAAUUUCUGCCCUAUCAACUUUCGAUGGUAGGAUAGUGGCCUACCAUGGUGGCAACGGGUAACGGGGAAUUAGGGUUCGAUUCCGGAGAGGGAGCCUGAGAAACGGCUACCACAUCCAAGGAAGGCAGCAGGCGCGCAAAUUACCCAAUCCCGACACGGGGAGGUAGUGACAAUAAAUACUGAUACGGGGCUCUUUUGGGUCUCGUAAUUGGAAUGAGUACAAUCUAAAUCCCUUAACGAGGAACAAUUGGAGGGCAAGUCUGGUGCCAGCAGCCGCGGUAAUUCCAGCUCCAAUAGCGUAUAUUAAAGUUGUUGCAGUUAAAAAGCUCGUAGUUGAACCUUGGGUUCGGCCGGCCGGUCCGCCUCACCGCGAGUACUGUCCGGCCGUUCCUUUCCUUCUGGGGAAUCCCAUGGCCUUCACUGGCUGUGGGGGGAACCAGGACUUUUACUGUGAAAAAAUUAGAGUGUUCAAAG
Molecule: ribosomal RNA, 685 nt
Filed under: Aspergillus aculeatinus
Lineage: Eukaryota; Fungi; Ascomycota; Eurotiomycetes; Eurotiales; Aspergillaceae
Description: SSU rRNA
Rfam family: Eukaryotic small subunit ribosomal RNA
Source: RNAcentral